Molecule: ribosomal RNA, 497 nt
Filed under: uncultured bacterium
Lineage: Bacteria
Description: partial 16S ribosomal RNA
Rfam family: Bacterial small subunit ribosomal RNA
Source: RNAcentral
GAUGAACGCUGGCGGCGUGCCUAAUACAUGCAAGUCGAGCGAACAGACGAGGAGCUUGCUCCUCUGACGUUAGCGGCGGACGGGUGAGUAACACGUGGAUAACCUACCUAUAAGACUGGGAUAACUUCGGGAAACCGGAGCUAAUACCGGAUAAUAUAUUUAACCGCAUGGUUCAAUAGUGAAAGACGGUUUUGCUGUCACUUAUAGAUGUAUCCGCGCCGCAUUAGCUAGUUGGUAAGGUAACGGCUUACCAAGGCAACGAUGCGUAGCCGACCUGAGAGGGUGAUCGGCCACACUGGAACUGAGACACGGUCCAGACUCCUACGGGAGGCAGCAGUAGGGAAUCUUCCGCAAUGGGCGAAAGCCUGACGGAGCAACGCCGCGUGAGUGAUGAAGGUCUUCGGAUCGUAAAACUCUGUUAUUAGGGAAGAACAAAUAUGUAAGUAACUAUGCACGUCUUGACGGUACCUAAUCAGAAAGCCACGGCUAACUACGUG